CGAACGCUGGCGGCAGGCUUAACACAUGCAAGUCGAACGAGAAGGUUCUUUCGGGAACUGGACAGUGGCGCACGGGUGAGUAACGCGUGGGAAUCUACCAUGGAGUGGGGGAUAACAGUUGGAAACGACUGCUAAUACCGCAUACGCCCUACGGGGGAAAGAUUUAUUGCUCUAUGAUGAGCCCGCGUUAGAUUAGGUAGUUGGUGGGGUAAUGGCCUACCAAGCCUACGAUCUAUAGCUGGUCUGAGAGGAUGAUCAGCCACACUGGGACUGAGACACGGCCCAGACUCCUACGGGAGGCAGCAGUGGGGAAUAUUGGACAAUGGGGGCAACCCUGAUCCAGCCAUGCCGCGUGAGUGAAGAAGGCCUUAGGGUUGUAAAACUCUUUCAACUGUGAGGAUGAUGACAGUAGCAGUAGAAGAAGCACCGGCUAACUUC
RNAcentral lists this ribosomal RNA (438 nucleotides) under uncultured bacterium. RNAcentral describes it as "bacterial SSU rRNA". It matches the Rfam family "Bacterial small subunit ribosomal RNA", at positions 30 to 504 of the family's 1533-position model. The record is from RNAcentral.